CCUCGGGAAGGCAGCAGUGAGGAAUAUUGGACAAUGGACGAAAGUCUGAUCCAGCCAUGCCGCGUGCAGGAUGACGGCCCUAUGGGUUGUAAACUGCUUUUAUACAGGAAGAGACACUCCCACGUGUGGGGGCUUGACGGUACUGUACGAAUAAGGAUCGGCUAACUCCGUGCCAGCAGCCGCGGUAAUACGGAGGAUCCAAGCGUUAUCCGGAAUUAUUGGGUUUAAAGGGUCCGCAGGCGGUCUAUUAAGUCAGAGGUGAAAUCCUGCAGCUCAACUGUAGCAUUGCCUUUGAUACUGAAAGACUUGAGUUAUUGUGAAGUAGUUAGAAUGUGUAGUGUAGCGGUGAAAUGCAUAGAUAUUACACAGAAUACCGAUUGCGAAAGCAGAUUACUAACAAUAUACUGACGCUGAGGGACGAAAGCGUGGGUAGCGAACAGGAUUAGAUACCCUGGUAGUCCACGCCGUAAACGAUGGAUACUAGCUGUUCGAUCAACACUGGUUGAUUGAGUGGUUAAGCGAAAGUGAUAAGUAUCCCACCUGGGGAGUACGCUCGCAAGAGUGAAACUCAAAUGAAUUGACGG
RNAcentral lists this ribosomal RNA (584 nucleotides) under uncultured bacterium. Its description in RNAcentral is "bacterial SSU rRNA". It matches the Rfam family "Bacterial small subunit ribosomal RNA", at positions 338 to 916 of the family's 1533-position model. The record is from RNAcentral.